GCUCACUGCAACGUCUGCCUCCCAGGUUCAAGCGAUUCUGGGGAGGGGAGGAGGAGGGAAGCAAGGAGAGAGGAACGCAGGGAGCAGAGCCUGACCUGGUCACAGGGGUCUGGGAAAGACAGAGGCUUUGUUAGAGCCGGCAGCUGAGGGCCGAGGCCGAGCAGGGGUUAGGCCAGCACAGGACGAAAAGGAAGAAAGUUCCAGGUGGAGUCUGGUGGAGAAAGACCGACCUGGAAGGCACCAGCAUGUGCACGUGGCAACUGAGGUCGAGGACGUGCCUGAGAGAGAGGAGGAAGGUGCCCUGCGGACCGGGUAGGGUGCGGAGGUCGGGAAUGGAGAACGGUCGUUGGGCAGGUCCGGGUACCCGUAGCCAGAACCACCCGGGUGUGCGCAGCUCGGCCAGGCCCCGCCUCCCGGCGUCCCCGCCCCCUGCUGGGCCUCUCUCCGCAGCCGCGAGACCCGCGCUUGGCGCAUAGGCCGGUUCUAAUUUACAAGAACACCGCGGCCUGAGGCCGGAGAGUCCCUUCAACCCGGGAGGCGGCGGCUGCAGGGAGCCGAGACGGCGCCAUUGCCCUCCAGCCUGGGCAAAAAGAGCGAAACUCCGUCUCAAAAAAAAAAAAACAUGGCCGAAACCAGGAAGCUGCGCGAUGGCGCCACGGCCCCUCUUCUCCCGGCCUGUGUCCGGAAGGUUUCCCUCCGAGGCGCCCCGGCUCCCGCAAGCGGAGGAGAGGGCGGGACGUGCCGGGGCCGGAGCUCAGAGGCCCUGGGGCCGCUCUGCUCUCCCGCCAUCGCAAGGGCGGCGCUGACCUGAGGCCUCCCCGCAAAGGUCCCCGAGGCGGCGGCGGCGGCGGGCUGUGAGAACCGCAGAAGAACGCUGGGCGCGCAGCGACCCGUCCACCCCCGCGAGGAGAGACUUCCACAGAGGCAGCGUUUCCACAGCCCAAAGCCACGUUUCUAGGGUGAUGCAGCCCCAGUAAGUUCCUGGCGGGGAAGCUCACGGCUGUCAAAAGAACUCUUCGCUCCAGCCGGCGCACGAAGGGGAGGAGGGCAGGAGGCUGCCGCCCGCACAGGUCAUCUGAUCACGUCGCCCGCCCUAGUCUGCUUUUGUGAAUCUCCACUUUGUUCAACCCCCACCCGCCGUCUCUCCCUCCCUGCGCCUUCCCUCUAACCUUAAAGACCCAGCUACCUCUACGCAAAUGGUAGCUACCUCUGCGCAGGUGGAAGUUGAGUUCGGUUCACGCGGGACCCUCUUCCCUGUGGCAAGCUGCUGAAGGAGACCUGCUGUUACUGCUUUAGCUGCUGUUCUGCUUAAUCUCAGACAGCUGGAAGGUAGUAUUCCGCCCUCGCCCAGCCACCCGAGUAAAUGAGAAUGAUGACUGACUGAGACCCUGAUGGUGGUGGCUUAGGCUUAAUCUCAGACAGCUGGAAGGUAGUAUUCCGCCCUCACCCAGCCACCCGAGUAAAUGAGAAUGAUGACUGACUGAGACCCUGAUGGUGGUGGCUUAGGCAAGAUGAACGUCUGAAAUGGAGGCCCAGGGCUGCCACGAUGGCUCUGUAGUCAUCAGGGAGGGAGCUCCUUUUAUCUUGUUACCUACUCCCCUCUUGUGCCCCUUUCUUCCCUUGAUCUAAGAAGGUUGCUCCGGAUCUCGCCAUCUGGCCUGCGUUCAAUCAGCAGAAGCUUCCUGGAGGAGCAGGAGGAGGCACUGUGCUCGCAUCACAUACCAGUGGCCAGAAGUUGGCUUCAGGGAAGCUCAGGAAAUAGGAUGCGAGAAGCCAUGAGACCUCCCCAAACUCUGCAGUAACAGAGUCAACAAGACAAUGGCUUAAAGAUGGAGAGACCAGUUGAUCGGUCACACAAGCUGUUCCACGAUAAUUCUUGUGUCAGAAGGGGAGGCUGACUACCAGGACCACUGGCCCCACUUCCAGCCCCUCCAUUCUGAGUACACUUCAGAGGGCUCUGGCAGGGUGAGGGGGUCUUGGUGGUGCCACAGAGAGUAAAGGUCUAGCACACCCAUUGUGGAGAUAUUUCAUGGGGACAACCCAGUGACUUCACUUGAAGUAAAGUGGGAUUUUCCAACCUUGAGAUUCUUAUUUUCUUUGCACGUGCCCAGCUUCCUUUCAAGUCUCUGGCCAAUGCAAUGUGAGCAGAAGUGAAGGGGCAACUUUCAGUGGCUUAGACAGUGGCCUAACUAGAAGACCAAGGCUCAAAGGAACACAUUUUGAGCUUCUCCACAGUUUGAGAACCUCUACAUUACCUACACCAAGCCUUCCCCAGCACUCAAUUUAUGGAAGACCAUUUCUCUUCU
This 2306-nucleotide long non-coding RNA is filed under the name Homo sapiens (human). RNAcentral's name for it is "non-protein coding lnc-MGAT1-4:2". The record is from RNAcentral. Lineage: Eukaryota; Metazoa; Chordata; Mammalia; Primates; Hominidae.